GCCUACCACGCGCCGAGCUCCAUCCAGUAGGUGAGGGGUUCCGACCGCGGAUGGAGGCGGGGGACCCACCGGGUCCGCCGAGAUCGGACCGGGGCCGUUCACGGCCCUUGGGGUGAAGCCGACGUCGUCUCACCGGAGUACGACGCUGGCCGGGUGGCCUCUCUGGUUUUGAACCAACCCGAACCCGACAGCUGACCUCGUAGGCGUGUACAGAGAGGAAUA
Mycobacterium kansasii is the source of this 222-nucleotide non-coding RNA. The record is from Rfam. Lineage: Bacteria; Bacillati; Actinomycetota; Actinomycetes; Mycobacteriales; Mycobacteriaceae.